AACGCACGAGACCUGCGGACCUGCGGAAGGAUCAUUAAUGAGAAGCUGCCCCUCGUGGGUAGACCUCCCACCCUCUGUGAACUUACUUUUGUUGCUUUGGCAGGCCCGUCCUCUGGACCGCCGGCUUCGGCUGGCCCGUGCCUGCCAGAGGAUUCCAAACCCUGUCUGUCAGUGUUGUCUGAGUCUAUAUGAAAUCGUUAAAACUUUCAGCAACGGAUCUCUAGAUCGGAAGAGCACACG
This 240-nucleotide unclassified non-coding RNA is filed under the name soil metagenome. RNAcentral describes it as "partial contains 5.8S ribosomal RNA, internal transcribed spacer 2, and large subunit ribosomal RNA". The record is from RNAcentral.